CAAUAGCGAAUAUUAAAAUUGUUGCGGCUAACAAGUUCGUAGUUGGAUUUCUGUUGAGGACGGCCGGUCCGCCCUCCGGGUGAGCAUCUGGUUUGGCCUUGGCCUCUUCUUGGUGAACGUAUCUGCACUUGACUGUGUGGUGCGGUAGCCAGGAUUUCCAUUUUGAGGGAAUUACAAUGUUUCAAGCAGGCAUACGUCUUAAAUACAUCAGCAUGGAAUAGUAAGAUAGGACCUCGGUUUCGUUUUGUUAGUUUCUAGAGCUAAGGUAAUGAUUAAUAGGGAUAGUUGGGGGCAUUCGUAUUUAACUGUCAGAGGUGAAAUCCUUGGAUUUGGUAAAGACGGACUACUGGGAAAGCAUUUGCCAAGGAUGUUUUCAUUGGUCAAGAACAAAAGUUAGGGUACCGAAGACGAUUAGAU
RNAcentral lists this ribosomal RNA (417 nucleotides) under uncultured eukaryote. RNAcentral describes it as "bacterial SSU rRNA". It matches the Rfam family "Eukaryotic small subunit ribosomal RNA", at positions 592 to 1013 of the family's 1831-position model. The record is from RNAcentral.